Molecule: transfer RNA, 86 nt
Organism: Sphaerobolus stellatus SS14
Lineage: Eukaryota; Fungi; Basidiomycota; Agaricomycetes; Geastrales; Sphaerobolaceae
Rfam family: tRNA
About the family: Transfer RNA (tRNA) molecules are approximately 80 nucleotides in length. Their secondary structure includes four short double-helical elements and three loops (D, anti-codon, and T loops). Further hydrogen bonds mediate the characteristic L-shaped molecular structure. tRNAs have two regions of fundamental functional importance: the anti-codon, which is responsible for specific mRNA codon recognition, and the 3' end, to which the tRNAs corresponding amino acid is attached (by aminoacyl-tRNA synthetases). tRNAs cope with the degeneracy of the genetic code in two manners: having more than one tRNA (with a specific anti-codon) for a particular amino acid; and 'wobble' base-pairing, i.e. permitting non-standard base-pairing at the 3rd anti-codon position.
Source: Rfam
GGCCGCCUGGUGUAAUGGCAACGCGUCUGACUACGACUUACGUCAGCAUCAUCAGGAGAUUGCAGGUUCAACCCCUGCGGUUGUCA